This 306-nucleotide unclassified non-coding RNA is filed under the name plant metagenome. RNAcentral's name for it is "partial contains 5.8S ribosomal RNA, internal transcribed spacer 2, and large subunit ribosomal RNA". The stretch from base 1 to 105 matches the Rfam family "5.8S ribosomal RNA", at positions 50 to 154 of the family's 154-position model. The record is from RNAcentral.
GAAAUGCGAUAAGUAAUGUGAAUUGCAGAAUUCAGUGAAUCAUCGAAUCUUUCAACGCACAUUGCGCCCGCCAGUAUUCUGGCGGGCAUGCCUGUCCGAGCGUCAUUUCAACCAUCAAGCCCCCGGGCUUGUGUUGGGGACCUGCGGCUGCCCGCAGGCCCUGAAAACCAGUGGCGGGCUCGCUGUCACACCGAGCGUAGUAGCAAUCACCUCGCUCAGGGCGUGCUGCGGGUUCCGGCCGUUAAACAGCCUUACAAAACCCAAGGUUGACCUCGGAUCAGGUAGGAAGACCCGCUGAACUUAAGC